CCUACGGGAGGCAGCAGUAAGGAAUAUUGGACAAUGGAGGCAACUCUGAUCCAGCCAUGCCGCGUGAAGGAAUAAGGCCCUAUGGGUUGUAAACUUCUUUUAGACGGGACAAAACCCCUUUACGUGUAAAGGGUUGAUGGUACUGUCAGAAUAAGCAUCGGCUAACUUCGUGCCAGCAGCCGCGGUAAU
Molecule: ribosomal RNA, 189 nt
Filed under: uncultured bacterium
Lineage: Bacteria
Description: partial 16S ribosomal RNA
Rfam family: Bacterial small subunit ribosomal RNA
Source: RNAcentral